UUGAUGUCAUACCCCCAGUGGAGCACAUCCAUACAUCAAGGGGAGGAUACCGCAGCCUACAGGAUGUCAUCUUCCUGCAGCCUCCUCCCUGCUUCCCUGGGGAGGCGAAGUGCCAUGCAAGUGAAGAAGACUUUAGAAAAGGGACAUGCUGCUGACUGCUGCUGAGCCCUCCCAAGUGCUUGGAUGCACCAUGGCUGACCUGAUGAGAAGGCUCUGGAGAAGAGAAGGCUCUGGGCAGACCUCAUUAUAGCCUUCCAAGACUCGAAGGGAGCAUAUAAACAGGAGGAGAAAGAGUACCAGAACAUUGUAAGAAACCUGCGCUGAAGUCUUGUUGUAUUAUCUCUCCAUACUGCUGUGAUUGAGAUGGGUUUUUUGAUGAGGAGGUAGCUCCAGGGAUUCGUUGAAGAUGUCUUCUACUUUCCACAGCUGGGCACUGGGAAGGAGCCAGCUGUGUGGCUAACCAGUUCUCCACGGAGUGACAGAACCCAACCACAGCUUGGGCACUUCAGGUGGAGAUGCCCACUGCUUCCCUGAAAGGAGCAUCAGAUGGAGAAGUAAAGAAAGGACUCCUCACAGCUGCUGGGCACUAUCAGCACUAACCAGCAGGAUGAUCUGGGUUUCUGCUGCCCUCUGCCAGACAGCAGCGUUUUGAUCGCAAGUCUGUGCCCUGUGGUUAUGGCAGGACUUCAAAUAACUACUUGGUGUUUGAAAUUCAGGCACAGCCCACUUAUUUGGAUAUUUCAAGCUGCAAGUUUCAGCUGAACCCCUAAGCAGCAAUUGGGUUUAAACAAUGAGGAGAGCUUUCCCCAGGUAUGUAAAAGCUAGGAGAACUGAUGCAGUAUUCACAGGUAGUUUGCUCUGUGUUGAAUGAAAUCCAGAGAUCCUCUGCUGUAGGGCUUACACACUGCAAUUUACAUCUGCAAAUAUAUAUGUACUCAGUAAAUACUUUGAAUGCUUAUGCUCCACAUAAACAAAAUGUCCUGUCUAAAGUCAUGGUAAGUAUGGAGAAUUCUUCAUUACCACUGUACAAUUUCAGUUUUAACUUCCAACUUACUACUACAGAGAACUUAGUCUCUUAAGGAAAACUUAUGAUCUUAAGACCAAAGACCAAAUCCAUUUUUAAAAUUUGUGACUUGAGCAACAACUGUACUGAAGAUAAGCAGUGUUUCAUUAAAAAAGCAAAUACCUCCGUGAACACAGAAUACGUAAAUAUUUCAGCUUGUUUGUCUUAUGCUGUGGGUGAUACCCAGUCUUGAAAAAUGUAGGGGCAGAGAGGAGAAUUGUGAGCUAUAAAUGAUGAUAUAAAACAGCAAAACAAUAAUCUAACACAAGAGCAGUCAGUGUCUGGGGUUUUGCUGAGCAAAUGUGUCCCUGUUUCAUACAGAAAUACAUUCUUGUUACUGGGACAGGGUCAGCUGAACGUUGGUGGUCAUGAGGGCCUGCAGGGGGUUGGGUUGGAGGUUAUUUUUGGUUCUAAGUGGGACAUCUUAUCUUGCUGUAAGUUCAUGUAUUCCUUCAUCAGUGGCCUCAGUGUGCUGGGGAGAGCUUCUUCACUGUCAUGAAGCAGCAAAGCCUGAAAGCAGUAGAAAAGGGGCUCAUGGUAUGCCUUAAAUCCUGGGAGUGGUAAAGAAAACCAAUCCAAGGAUCGUCUUCAAUAGAUAAGGGUUUAUAUCCACAUAGCAGAAACUGAGAAUAAUGCAACAAGGAGCAAGUAAUCCUCAGUGAUGAUUACUUGCUACACAAAAAGCUUUCAAUGUAUGUCUCUCCUCUAACUCAGCCACUGUUUUCGGGAUGUUUUGUGACACCACAAAGCAGCUGUUCUUUACUCUUCUGACUAAGACAUUUAUA
Long non-coding RNA from Numida meleagris (helmeted guineafowl), 1848 nucleotides. RefSeq lists it as uncharacterized. The record is from RefSeq and is a predicted model, not a curated record. NCBI's taxonomy places the organism in Eukaryota, Metazoa, Chordata, Aves, Galliformes, Numididae. The transcript is spliced from 4 exons.